Nicotiana tabacum (common tobacco) is the source of this 970-nucleotide non-coding RNA. NCBI's taxonomy places the organism in Eukaryota, Viridiplantae, Streptophyta, Magnoliopsida, Solanales, Solanaceae. The record is from RefSeq and is a predicted model, not a curated record.
CCACCUCCAUUAUAGUCAUAUAGUCGUCGAUACAACCAAACUCCGAUCCCAUCUCUCUUUUCUUUUUGCCUUGGAUUCAAGAAUCCAUCUCCUAAAUCCUCUCUUGGCCGAAUUUCUUCCAAAUCUUUCAGAUUUACUUUGUCACUUUCACUCUCUCUAUAUCUAUGCAAUUACCUCUUCAUUGGACCACAAUAAUCAUCAAGCCCUAGAGUUCCCAAAGCCGAUAACGUGGUCGCCCUUCACCAUUUUCCGUUGGUCUUUCCGGCACUUCUCUGAAGCUUCGCAGGUUACAAAUCCAAUGAACUCAGAUACCCACUUCUUCAAGGACCAUUGCUAGCCUUACCAAAAUCUCCAAAUUCUAAAUCAUAUUUGUGCUCGAAUCAGAGAAGCCCAAAAUCACCAUAUGCCUGGGAAUUUUUCAUACUGAGAUUGAUACUUGAAGCUUUUUUUUGCCCGCAAAUUCUUGGUUUUUCUUAAGGCUGGAUCUCGAUCGCUGUAAUAGCAAUCUGGUACCAGAGUCUUUCAACAAGGCUAGAAACAUGAUAACGGAUUUGGGUCUUCAUUAUGAAAAAAUACAUGCAUGCCCUAAUGAUUGCAUGUUAUUUUGGAAAGAAAAUGUGAAUGCCGAUAAUUGUUCUAUUUGCUGGUAGUAACACUCAAGGUCAGUACGUACCAAAUGUUAUACAUCUUCUUCUAUUUCUUGUUCUCCUCCUUCCUUGCUUGGGAUUUUUCUUUGGUUCAAGGCAGAGUGGAUAUGGUAAUAUCCUUUUUCUAUUUAGUAGGAGUAUAUGAUUUCUUAAGUGCCAAGUGGUCUCGUAUGUAUAGUAAGAAUACCCGAGUAAUACUGGCAGUUCUAUGAUAGUAGAACUUUGAGAAUUUAAAUUGGAAUAGAUAGACAGGUUGAUGCUUAAGACAAAGUUAUGGAAUUGACUUCUCUGUAUGUCACGACCCAAACUGGAGGGCCAUGACU